Molecule: ribosomal RNA, 253 nt
Filed under: uncultured bacterium
Lineage: Bacteria
Description: partial 16S ribosomal RNA
Rfam family: Bacterial small subunit ribosomal RNA
Source: RNAcentral
UACGUAGGUGGCAAGCGUUGUCCGGAAUUAUUGGGCGUAAAGCGCGCGCAGGCGGUUUCUUAAGUCUGAUGUGAAAGCCCACGGCUCAACCGUGGAGGGUCAUUGGAAACUGGGGAACUUGAGUGCAGAAGAGAAGAGCGGAAUUCCACGUGUAGCGGUGAAAUGCGUAGAUAUUCGGAGGAACACCAGUGGCGAAAGCGACUUUCUGGGACGUUCCUGACGCUGAGGUUCGAAAGCUCGGGGAGCAAACAGG